AAUACGACCUUUGGGCUUUAGGGCGCUUGAAUCCCAAUGUGAAUGAGGACAGGGCGAGAGAUUCAGACUCACCCUCAUUCAUUUUCACAAUUCAUCACCUGAACUCUCUCUCCCUCUUGAAACGUCUCCACCACCGGAAAUCUCUCCGCCGCGCCGGAGGCGGCAGAGCAUUCCAGAUAAACCUCAAACAACCACCAUCUCAACCCUUUCCACCUCAUCUCUUCUAUUCUAGCAUCAAUUUCCUCUGAAACGCAAUGAAAUAUCUAAACCAAACCAAAACCUUGAAGAACCCUAGACCCUAAGAAAGUGAAAUUAAAUCGAAACGGAGGGGAAUCAAACCACACAACCUUGAGGCUUUGAUUCCCUUUAAUGUCCUCUACAUAUUGGUAACCAGUUCGAUAUGAAAGAAGAAGAAAUGGAGGGAGCUACCAACCUGUAAGGUCGAGGUUCACCUUGGGGAGCUUUGAAGAUGAGGAUGCUAAUGAAGAUAGAACACCAUAUAGUUCUGCUUCAAUUCCUUCUACAGGCUGCCCUAUGUCACUUGCCACUUUAUCAGAUUUGAAGAGGACUAAUCUUUCCAAACUUCUGCACUUGAUACAUUUGUCAACUUUCCCUUGUUCUCAUACCCUGGGUCAUUAUGCAUAUGAGAUGAUUUGGGCAUGGGAUGGCAUGACAUACAAGGUUCAUGAAGAUUUAAUCAUGGCAACAAAAUUGGCAUAGCAUGGCACCAUGAAGAUAUUUGGAAUGCUCUUUGAAGAUAUGGGAAGCACAAAAAAAAGAAUGCCUUGAAGAUGAAGAAAAAGUGGGAUUAGGUUUUAGAAUAGUUAGUUGACUUUGGUCAACUGUUUGACCAAAAAGUCAACAGUUGACUAAAAAUCAACUCUAGGUCAAAAUGUGUAAAAUCUUGUGUAGAUUCUGUUUUUGACUCUUGCGUAGUGUAUAUUUGAUGGUUUGUAAUGCAAAUUGAUCCUUGAAUGGCAAUGUAACUUGUUCUUCAAGAAAACACUUUUCCCUCCAAAUUGGCAUUUGAAUAUUUGAAUUUGAAUUGAACUUUGAUCUUUGAAUGAAA
This is a long non-coding RNA of Lathyrus oleraceus (garden pea), 1069 nucleotides long. RefSeq lists it as uncharacterized. The record is from RefSeq and is a predicted model, not a curated record. The transcript is spliced from 3 exons. Lineage: Eukaryota; Viridiplantae; Streptophyta; Magnoliopsida; Fabales; Fabaceae.